UACCAGCUCUCCGAGUGGUGUGGAUGUUUAUUGGGCCUAAAGCAUCCGUAGCUGGCUGGGCAAGUCCCCUGUUAAAUCCACCGAUUCAAUCGUUGAGCCGCGGGAGAUACUACUAGGCUAGGAGGCGGGAGAGGUCGACGGUACUUUCGGGGGUAGGGGUGAAAUCCUAUAAUCCCGGGAGGACCACCAGUGGCGAAGGCUGUCGACUAGAACGCGCUCGACGGUGAGGGACGAAAGCUGGGGUAGCGAACCGGAUUAGAUACCCGGGUAGUCCCAGCUGUAAACUAUGCGGGCUAGGUGUUGGGGUGGCUACGGGCCACUUCAGUGCCGCAGGAAAGCCAUUAAGCCCGCCGCCUGGGGAGUACGGCCGCAAGGCUGAAACUUAAAGGAAUUGGCGGGGGAGCACCACAAGGCGUGAAGCUUGCGGUUC
RNAcentral lists this ribosomal RNA (430 nucleotides) under uncultured archaeon. RNAcentral's name for it is "bacterial SSU rRNA". It matches the Rfam family "Archaeal small subunit ribosomal RNA", at positions 474 to 903 of the family's 1478-position model. The record is from RNAcentral.